RNAcentral lists this ribosomal RNA (264 nucleotides) under Triticum aestivum (bread wheat). Its description in RNAcentral is "partial small subunit ribosomal RNA". The record is from RNAcentral. Lineage: Eukaryota; Viridiplantae; Streptophyta; Magnoliopsida; Poales; Poaceae.
UGUAGUCUCAACGACGAUGCAUACAUGUCAACUAUGGGUGUUGGCUCUAACAAUUCACAUUGGUCUCAAACCAAUGACAUGCAUUUUGAAGACCAUGAGUUCGAGGUGGACGAGAAGGGUGAGGGCAUUGUCGACGCAUCGAAAGGAAGAGCGGGCAAUUACACCAACGCCGAUGACAUCUUACUAUGCAAUACUUGGUUGCAAGUGUCGAGGGAUCCAUCCGUUGGAGGUGAUCAAAGUAGAGAUGCUUAUUGGGGCGGAUGA